GGAGAGGUGGGUGAGCGGCUGAAACCGAUGGUCCCGAAAACCAUUAUGCCCCUAAAGGGCAUCGAGAGUUCAAAUCUCUCCCUCUCCGCCA
RNAcentral lists this transfer RNA (91 nucleotides) under bacterium. Its description in RNAcentral is "tRNA-Ser". It matches the Rfam family "tRNA". Rfam says of the family: Transfer RNA (tRNA) molecules are approximately 80 nucleotides in length. The record is from RNAcentral. RNAcentral also lists the same sequence under 1 other name.